Molecule: long non-coding RNA, 653 nt
Organism: Lycium barbarum (goji berry)
Lineage: Eukaryota; Viridiplantae; Streptophyta; Magnoliopsida; Solanales; Solanaceae
Exons: 3
Source: RefSeq, a predicted model, not a curated record
UGAAAAGAAAAAAAAAUGAGGCCCAAGUUUAAGAGCGUGGCCGGCCAAAUCCAUGGCCCAAACCCACAAAAAAAUUAAUGAAUUUUCCAUGUGUUAAAAUAGAUGAAAGGGACCAUAUAUUAUCACUUAUCCAUUAGAAUUUUCAAGAAACACAAAAGAUGAAGAACAAAAACAAAGGGCCAUUUCGGCCAAGACCCAUGGAAAUUGAGUACCUUAAAUCUUGUUCCAAAAAUUGUUUUCUUGUAGUAUUCCUACCAAUUCAAGUACCCUCUACAACGUGGUAUGAUUAUUUUGGAAGAUGGUUCAUCCGUUUCAUCGUUUCCGCACUUUGGUUAAGUGAAGAAGAUUGGAGAAAAAGAUUUUGGACGAAACGGGAAGUGAACUUGGAAAGGCGUAAAAAGCAUAAAAGGUACAGACGACAGAUUUGCUGACCCGCCUGCCUAGGACAUCUAUUCUGCUAUUUCGGGAGUGCUCUUUUGUCCAGAGCCUAUAUGUUGGUACAUUCUGCUGCUAUUGUAUAUAUGUAUGCUAUUCAGGGGUAUGACGGGGCCCUGUCCCGUCUUAUGAUUCUGUUAUAAUCUGUAGAGGUCUGUAGACAUACUUGUGUGGGUUUUGUAUAUGUUUUGGGAUGAUAUGAUAUGUGACAGCCUUAU